GCGGAUGUAGCUCAGUGGUAAAGUACUUGCCUAAUAUGCUUGAGGCCCUGGGUUCUAACCCAGCACUGCA
RNAcentral lists this transfer RNA (70 nucleotides) under Fukomys damarensis (Damara mole-rat). It matches the Rfam family "tRNA". From Rfam's summary of the family: Transfer RNA (tRNA) molecules are approximately 80 nucleotides in length. Lineage: Eukaryota; Metazoa; Chordata; Mammalia; Rodentia; Bathyergidae. The record is from Rfam by way of RNAcentral.